GAUGAACGCUGGCGGCGUGCCUAAUACAUGCAAGUCGAGCGAACGGACGAGAAGCUUGCUUCUCUGAUGUUAGCGGCGGACGGGUGAGUAACACGUGGAUAACCUACCUAUAAGACUGGGAUAACUUCGGGAAACCGGAGCUAAUACCGGAUAAUAUUUUGAACCGCAUGGUUCAAAAGUGAAAGACGGUCUUGCUGUCACUUAUAGAUGGAUCCGCGCUGCAUUAGCUAGUUGGUAAGGUAACGGCUUACCAAGGCAACGAUGCAUAGCCGACCUGAGAGGGUGAUCGGCCACACUGGAACUGAGACACGAUCCAGACUCCUACGGGAGGCAGCAGUAGGGAAUCUUCCGCAAUGGGCGAAAGCCUGACGGAGCAACGCCGCGUGAGUGAUGAAGGUCUUCGGAUCGUAAAACUCUGUUAUUAGGGAAGAACAUAUGUGUAAGUAGCUGUGCACAUCUUGACGGUACCUAAUCAGAAAGCCACGGCUAACUACGUG
RNAcentral lists this ribosomal RNA (497 nucleotides) under uncultured bacterium. Its description in RNAcentral is "partial 16S ribosomal RNA". It matches the Rfam family "Bacterial small subunit ribosomal RNA", at positions 28 to 507 of the family's 1533-position model. The record is from RNAcentral.